Panthera uncia (snow leopard) is the source of this 1023-nucleotide long non-coding RNA. RefSeq lists it as uncharacterized. NCBI's taxonomy places the organism in Eukaryota, Metazoa, Chordata, Mammalia, Carnivora, Felidae. The transcript is spliced from 2 exons. The record is from RefSeq and is a predicted model, not a curated record.
GCGUCCCUCCCUCCCCGGACCCUGCGCGUUGGUACAGCCUGCUCCGCCAGCGUCACGUGGGCGCCCCCUCUGUGACGUCGGCGUCUUCGCUGUAGCAAAGCUCGGCCUCUGGAAUUCUGAGAACUAAUUUGCUAUUCGGUGACAUAAGAGGGGGAGUGCGCUUUGCUUUCCCGGGGUCUGGGGCUAAUUCCUCGUCUCUUACCCUUAAACUCGGCUCCUCGAGCUAAAUACACAAAAGGGAGCGAGAGGUUCGACCCGUUGGAAAAAGUCUGUUCUGUAUAGUAGCUUUAGAGGCGAGUAAGAGAAAAAAACAAUAAACACCACAGCUCUUUCCAGCUAGAAUAUUAGGCACCACGAGAAAAAUAUUUGCCAAGCAGUUUUCGUGCUGCCCGGAACUCUGUUCUAGAACCUGGAGCAAAACCACUUGUCAGGACUCAGUUUCCUCAACCGUGUGAAGAAAUAACCGGGUGAUUUGCAUGGUAGCUAUCUCUUCUAAAUUCUAUACCUUUAUAUCCAGAUACAUAUUUACAUGACUUUAAGAUGGGGGAACGGAAGAGGAGCUAUAUCUAUGUGUGUACCUGGCGUGGGGGAAGGGGUUAAAAUUUAAACUUCUAAGUAAAGAAGGCAGUCCUAGAAUCCUCCCCUCUAUCAAUUUUUAACCAAUUGUAGACCAAAGUCUGGGGUUAUGCUGAGUGGGUUCAAAAACCAAUUGAAGAUUUUUAAAGUUGAGUUGGAGGAGACAGGUUCUGAGACCUUGUACCUUUGAUCUCCAGCAUUCAUAAUCAGCUGUGACAAUUCUCAAGUGUAUUUUCAGUACUGUAGUUCUUUUUUUUUUUUUUUCCUUCUGUUUGUUUUUGGAAACUGUCCCAGUCAAUGAUAGGAAGGAGAUGACACUUGUAAACUGGGCAGUCUUUAAGCCACUGGGCUCCAUGUGGAUGUGAAAAAUAUGUCAUAACAUUCACACACACACACACACACACACACACCCCACACACAAGAAGGAAGGAAAAAAAAAAACCUAGA